ACUCCUACGGGAGGGCAGCAGUAGGGAAUCUUCCACAAUGGGCGCAAGCCUGAUGGAGCAACACCGCGUGAGUGAAGAAGGGUUUCGGUCUCGUAAAGCUCUGUUGUUAAAGAAGAACACGUAUGAGAGUAACUGUUCAUACGUUGACGGUAUUUAACCAGAAAGUCACGGCUAACUACGUGCCAGCAGCCGCGGUAAUACGUAGGUGGCAAGCGUUAUCCGGAUUUAUUGGGCGUAAAGAGAGUGCAGGCGGUUUUCUAAGUCUGAUGUGAAAGCCUUCGGCUUAACCGGAGGAGUGCAUCGGAAACUGGAUAACUUGAGUGCAGAAGAGGGUAGUGGAACUCCAUGUGUAGCGGUGGAAUGCGUAGAUAUAUGGAAGAACACCAGUGGCGAAGGCGGCUACCUGGUCUGCAACUGACGCCGAGACUCGAAAGCAUGGGUAGCGAACAGGAUUAGAUACCCUGGUAGGAUAGCG
Molecule: ribosomal RNA, 475 nt
Filed under: uncultured bacterium
Lineage: Bacteria
Description: bacterial SSU rRNA
Rfam family: Bacterial small subunit ribosomal RNA
Source: RNAcentral